Molecule: ribosomal RNA, 253 nt
Filed under: uncultured bacterium
Lineage: Bacteria
Description: partial 16S ribosomal RNA
Rfam family: Bacterial small subunit ribosomal RNA
Source: RNAcentral
UACGUAGGGGGCAAGCGUUGUCCGGAAUCAUUGGGCGUAAAGAGCGCGUAGGCGGCCCAGUAAGUCCGCUCUGAAAGUCAGGGGCUCAACCCCUGAAUGCGGGUGGAUACUGCUGGGCUAGAGUACGGUAGAGGGGGAUGGAAUUCCGCGUGUAGCAGUGAAAUGCGUAGAUAUGCGGAGGAACACCGAUGGCGAAGGCAAUCCCCUGGACCUGUACUGACGCUCAUGCACGAAAGCGUGGGGAGCAAACAGG